UUUUAAUUUAGUAAUGUGUUAUGAGGUACAGGAGUGACAAGAAAAAUAUAGAAGAAAGCAGUGGGGAGAGGAGGAUUCCUUACACAGCUGAUUGAUAGAGGUGUCUUUCAGCAUAAUCCUCUCAUUCUGAUCACACUGGAGACCAGUGGUAUCCUUGAGGCAUUUUGUUCUGUAAAUGGUUUCCUGAUCCACACCACUUUCAUAUUUUCCGUAAAGAACACUUAAUCUAGGAAAAAAAAUCAUUCUGAAACAUGCUGGCCUUAAUUUGAUGAACUUCAGUAUGUAAUCAGUCCUCUGACUCAAAUCACAUCCUCCAACAGUUUCGUGAUUGGAGAUAUUACCUGAAUGAGUCCUGGUGAGCCUUUUUUGUCUCAAUCAAGUGUUUAUGGCAAUUGUAUGCAGCCUUUUUUCCCUCCUCCCCCCACCCAUUUCCCUCCCUUUUCCCCAUCAGUAAAUUCCUUUGGGUGUUCAGCUGUUGGAAAUCUCUCCUGUCUGCCUAAGGACCCUCUGCAUUAACAAGGGAUGGAAGGGAAGCACAUAGGAACUCACUGGGACAUUUAUGCAAAUAUCUGAUGAAGGCUCUCAGUGUGGAUAUCUCCAGCCAGGUGAGAGAGGAAAGAUGAUUAUCUCAGGAUCAGGAACCACCUUCUAAAGAUCAUUUUCUUCAUGUGGUCAUCAAUACUGUGGUGUCUGAAUUACUCCAGGAGUGUUUUUUCUCAUUUGAGACAUCUGUUAGACUGGGUGAAUCAUCCACAGAAAUGUCUGUUUCUCUCUACUAAAUUUAAAGGGCUGACACUGCAAAAAGAUGUGGAUGAGCAAAGAAUCAUAUCAGUGUUUCAUCUGUGCACUUCAAGAACUGCAGGAAGAAUACAAGAGAAAACAACCUCACAAAAUAUGAUAAUAAAUGCACUCCCUACCCUUCUCUGUCAGCUUUCUGAUCUUGCAAGGCAGAAACCUGCAAACACUCCUUUCAAUACUGCAGAGAGAACAAAAAGUCAAUACAACCCACGAGUAAACAACAUUUCUUACCUCUCCUUGAGGUAAGAUUUGAGCAGAUUUGCUCAAAUAUUUUCAGUGGGUGGGCUCCCAUUAUUUAGGUUAAGGGUUAAGAAAAUAUGAUAAGGAAUGUGUUUUUAAAAUAAGACUGAUAUGGAUCAUAUUUUCUAAGAACCUUAUUGAAACAAUAAAGCUUUUGAG
This 1197-nucleotide long non-coding RNA is filed under the name Cyanistes caeruleus (blue tit). Its description in RNAcentral is "lncRNA (ENSCCEG00000010702.1)". The record is from RNAcentral. Lineage: Eukaryota; Metazoa; Chordata; Aves; Passeriformes; Paridae.